Molecule: long non-coding RNA, 868 nt
Organism: Carassius gibelio (silver crucian carp)
Lineage: Eukaryota; Metazoa; Chordata; Actinopteri; Cypriniformes; Cyprinidae
Exons: 4
Source: RefSeq, a predicted model, not a curated record
AGCUAGCCUGACUACGUCAGACUUCCUACUUCCGCUCAAUUUCAUUUAGCUUCUGUACUCAGUCUGAUACAGCUUCAGAGCUUUCUGUUUCCCACCGGUCUGAAAACAGCCGGGCCAAUCAACGAGCAGAGGGUGGGCUGAGAGCCGUGACGUAGAUGCUUAGCGCCGAGUUUUACAUUGUAGGUUAGAGAAAUCGAAAACCGAAACGACCGCGGAAAUGGGAAACGAGACACGGGAUGCAAUUCGCUCGAAUAACCCCAGAGUGCAGUCUGGACGAUGGGGCGGGGCGACACUUCGAGGCGGAGCGACACGUGUCGCCCCGCCCAUAUUUGUUUUCCCCGCCUUUGACAUUUUCCUCCGAGCCAGCAGGGGGCAGUUUGCGUUGAAACAAACAGAACGGUGGCAACUACAGCAGCAGAGUAAUAACGCUAUUCCGUUGAUUGCUUGAGGAUGACAUGAUCAGGAGGUGGUGGUGUUCUGUUCUCCUGGACAGCUUUACUCCGCAAAUAGCUCAACCACUGAGGGGAGGAACUUCACCAUUCACCAUGUCUUCAGGCAGAGUCCAGCAAAGCAGCUUCCACUGGAAAUCCUCAGGGAAGUUAUUUUGUCGGCGAGUGACUCUGCAUAUUUGACACUGUCUCUGGUUUGCAGAUGGUUUAGGGAUGUGCUCCGAAGUUUUUCGGAAAGCGGCACAGUUUGCCUGGCUAGACAGAAAGAUUUCCCCGUUUAAUGCUCAUUCUCCAAUUGAAUUUUGUAGUAGAAGGCUGUUAAACUUUUUUUGUAUUAUUAUUAUUAUCUUUCAUGUAUUUUGUCUUUACACUAUAAGUUGUGGCCAACUGGAAGAAUUGUCCUCCUGUCUCCUGACCGG